Bos taurus (domestic cattle) is the source of this 72-nucleotide non-coding RNA. The record is from Rfam. NCBI's taxonomy places the organism in Eukaryota, Metazoa, Chordata, Mammalia, Artiodactyla, Bovidae.
UCCCUGGUGGUCCAGUGGUUAAGAACCCUCCUUGUGAUGCAGGGAACAAGGGUUCGAUCCCUGUCCAGGGAA